Molecule: ribosomal RNA, 734 nt
Filed under: uncultured fungus
Lineage: Eukaryota; Fungi
Description: LSU rRNA
Rfam family: Eukaryotic large subunit ribosomal RNA
Source: RNAcentral
CACAGGGAUUGCCCUAGUUAACGGCGAGUGAAGCGGCAANAGCUCAAAUUUGAAAUCUGGUCCUUUUAGGGCCCGAGUUGUAAUUUGUAGAGGGUGCUUUGGCGUUGGCUGCUGGUCUAAGUUCCUUGGAACAGGACGUCGCAGAGGGUGAGAAUCCCGUAUGUGGCCGCCAGCCUCCGCCGUGUAAAGCCCCUUCNACGAGUCGAGUUGUUUGGGAAUGCAGCUCUAAAUGGGAGGUAAAUUUCUUCUAAAGCUAAAUAUUGGCCAGAGACCGAUAGCGCACAAGUAGAGUGAUCGAAAGAUGAAAAGCACUUUGGAAAGAGAGUCAAAAAGCACGUGAAAUUGUUAAAAGGGAAGCGCUUGCAGCCAGACUUGCCUGUAGUUGCUCAUCCGGGCUCUUGCCCGGUGCACUCUUCUAUGGGCAGGCCGGCAUCAGUCCGGGCGGUUGGAUAAAUGCCUGCUAAAUGUACCUCUCCUCGGGGAGGACUUAUAGGGCAGGCGGCAUGCAACCAGCCUGGAUUGAGGUCCGCGCAUCUGCUAGGAUGCUGGCGUAAUGGCUGUAAGCGGCCCGUCUUGAAACACGGACCAAGGAGUCUAACAUCUAUGCGAGUGUUUGGGUGUAAAGCCCGAGCGCGUAAUGAAAGUGAACGGAGGUGGGAACCCCUCGGGGCGCACCAUCGACCGAUCCUGAUGUCUUCGGAUGGAUUUGAGUAAGAGCAUAGCUGUUGGGACCC